AUUGAACGCUGGCGGCAGGCCUAACACAUGCAAGUCGAACGGUAACAGGAAGAAGCUUGCUUCUUUGCUGACGAGUGGCGGACGGGUGAGUAAUGUCUGGGAAACUGCCUGAUGGAGGGGGAUAACUACUGGAAACGGUAGCUAAUACCGCAUAACGUCGCAAGACCAAAGAGGGGGACCUUCGGGCCUCUUGCCAUCGGAUGUGCCCAGAUGGGAUUAGCUAGUAGGUGGGGUAACGGCUCACCUAGGCGACGAUCCCUAGCUGGUCUGAGAGGAUAACCAGCCACACUGGAACUGAGACACGGUCCAGACUCCUACGGGAGGCAGCAGUGGGGAAUAUUGCACAAUGGGCGCAAGCCUGAUGCAGCCAUGCCGCGUGUAUGAAGAAGGCCUUCGGGUUGUAAAGUACUUUCAGCGGGGAGGAAGGGGGUAAAGUUAAUACCUUUGCUCAUUGACGUUACCCGCAGAAGAAGCACCGGCUAACUCCGUG
Molecule: ribosomal RNA, 490 nt
Filed under: uncultured bacterium
Lineage: Bacteria
Description: partial 16S ribosomal RNA
Rfam family: Bacterial small subunit ribosomal RNA
Source: RNAcentral